RNAcentral lists this unclassified non-coding RNA (3038 nucleotides) under Diabrotica virgifera virgifera (western corn rootworm). RNAcentral describes it as "uncharacterized LOC126890764". The record is from RNAcentral. Lineage: Eukaryota; Metazoa; Arthropoda; Insecta; Coleoptera; Chrysomelidae.
GUUUUCAACUUCAAACAAAAGUCAGGUAAAUUUUUGAUGUGUAUUCUUAAAGUAUUAGUACUACAUAAGACAAAGAAAAAAGAAGAAGUGGUGUCAUUUGCCUAUGUCCAGGAAUGACAUUGACUUCUAACCUCACAUUUCACAGUUGCCGGCACACGUGGCAUGUAAAUCUUUUUAAUUGUCUUUUUCUUAUGUGUUAGUGUGUAAAAUAAUUUGUCAAUUUGGUCUUUUACACCAUGUAUUUUUUAAUAUUUGACUCAAUCAAUGAGUGGUGCGUGAACCUGAGAGUAUAACAUCCACGGAAAGCAAAUCUCAAUAACUUAUUCUUGAUGAUGAAAAUAAACAUUUUCGAAAGCUUGAAACUUAGUUAAAAGAGUACACUUAUUUCACCGCUGCAUAAGCCAGGCAAAAUCCCAAGUGUUGCAAAAAAUCCUACACGAUAACGACAUUGACCUGGUUGCCAUACAAGAGACCCAUACUGAAGACAAAGUCCAGCUUGAUUUAAGAGGAAAGAUACCUGGCUACGAUUUACUGGGAGCCACCUAUGAUAAACAUUACGGCGUCGCAACCUACAUUCGCUGCAAUAUAGAAAAUGGUUUCCUACUUUCUGCUUCCAAUGAGAAUAAUAUACAUGAAGUAGUCACCAAGAUUGGAGAUAUUACCGUAGUUAACAUAUACAAACCUCCAGCCACUACAUGGAACCCAGAAGUGCUAAAGACUCAUCCACAUCCUACUAAAUACAUCGGCGACUUCAACAGCCACCACGAAAUGUGGAAGUACACCACGAAUGAUGAAAAUGGGGAGGCACUAGUAGAAUGGUCCGAAGAGCAAAACACAUACCUAGUUUUUGAUGCCAAAGACAGAGGAACAUUUAAAUCAGCUGCAUGGAGAAAAGAAUAUAACCCAGACCUAUGUUUUGUCUCAAAAGAUACCAAUGACAGACCACUAACAACUGCGAGAAGUGUCCUUGCAGACUUCCCACAUACUCAACAUCGUCCGGUGCUUAUCACCAUCGGAAUAUCAAUUCCAAUAAUUAGAUCAUAUCCUCUACCCAGGUGGAAUCUUAGAAAAGCAAACUGGAAGAAGUUCUCUGAACAACUAGACCGGACCUUGAGCUGGGUCCCUCCAACCAGCAAACAUUAUGAGAGGUUUGUGGGCGCAGUAAUAAGCACUGCCAAGAAAACCAUCCCUAGAGGGUAUCGCAAAGAAUAUGUGCCUGGAUGGACUGAAACAUGUGAAGACUUAUACACGAAGUUUCUCGAAAGUGGUGACCGAGAAAUAGCCGAUGAGCUUUUACACAACAUCGAUACAGCUAGACGCCAAAAAUGGAUAAAGACUGUCGAAAACCUUGACUUCAAAAAAUCAAGCCGGCAGGCAUGGUCCUUGUUGCGGAAAAUUGGAGGAGCUAACCAGCUGGAAUCCAGAGAGUCUAAAAUGUCUCCUAACAAGGUUGCCUCCCAUAUAGUAUCUCUAUCCAGAGCUCCACGAGAUCGAACACAUACUACCAACGUGAAAAGAGACUUAAGGGCAUUAAAACAAAUGAACAGAACGAACUCCGAAUAUUCAGCAAGAAUACUUAUUUCUGAAAUCACACAUGCGCUGAAAGAAAUGAAAUCAGGUAAAGCACCUGGCUUUGAUGGUAUUCAUCCAGAGUUCUUGAUACACAGUGGUGCAUACACGAAACAGUGGCUUGCAAUGUUCUUUAAUGAUAUACUUCAGUCAGGUAACAUGUAACGGUCACGUUACGAAAGUAGCUCUUUAAUAAUUAUUAUUAUUAUUUUCCCUCGGUCUCUCAUUUAAAUUCUCGUAUAGGACCACUGAGGUGACGUCAUACCUCGGUGAUGGAACGUACUCCACCUAUCGAGAAUUAUUCGGGUUCUGAGAGAAUUUGACGUUUACCUUGGCGGAGAAACGCCUCUCGUUCUUUACUUGACUGUGAGCUGUGGUGUCGAAUAGAUAUACCAUAUAGAAUGGCGGAUGAUUUCCUCCAACUUAUUUUAUCACAUAAGAAAUUUAACGUAAAGUAAAAAGUUACCACCAGGGAUUGUCUGGAGUGAGGAGACAUGUGGGUGACAACUCCUGUUGGAGUAUAAAUAGGAAUCAUUCGCCAUUUGGGAGAAACCCUACCAUGAAGUCAUAGACCUUAUUUGACCACCUAGAGAAACCACUACAGCCACAGUCAAGUCAUCAUGGGAAUACGUCUUUUUGGGAACAAGCUAUGGGAGCGUUCCAGCUCAAUUUUCGUCUUGGCACCUGGGCCUACAGGAGUCAUGGAGUCGCACCAUCCUGGUGCAUCAUUUCCUAGGAUGCAACCGCAACCUCGUUUGGGAACAUUUAGUGAGGUGUUUUAGUAACUAUUGGUUUUUUUUAUAUUUCAGACUAUCUGUUAAAUACACUAUGUUUUUUUUCCAGAUUUAGGUUACCUCUGGUUUUUUUUGACAUAUUUGUAUAUUAGAUUAUUUGGUUCCCAAACUUUGUAUCUACGGUAACUUCUUGUGCACAGGAAAAAGCCUAGAGAAAAUUACGUUUUUAAUGCUUUAUUAUUGCUUUGAUAUUGGUUUAUGUAAUUCGGGUAAAUUUAUUUUUUAAUAUUACUAGCUUGUUUCCCAAAUAUUUUACUGUUAUUCGCUUUAUUCCAUUUGUUCGGUUAAUUUAGGUCAUCGUCGGUAUUUAUCUCAACUUCAUUUCUACUUUAGUCAAUUGUAUAUUUAACUUUAUUUAUUCAUUAUUGUAUUUUCCCUUAGUGAGGCUUGGGCCUAUUUAUUUGUAGUAUUUUCAUCUUUGUCAGUUUCCUUUAGUUGUACGUAGCAGGCGUACUAUAACCAUUUGGUAGAAGACUUAUGUAAUUUUGUACCCUAUAUGUUAGUGAGAGGUACUUAUACCUGUAAUUUUGUAACAGGUAACAUUGUUGUUAUCUUAGGUUGAACAUAACUUUUGCAAACUUUUGUCAUGUUAGAGUCACAUAAUAUGAACUUGUUUAACUCAGAGAUUGUUAAAAAUCUAGUAGUUAUUUUUAAUAAAUAUGUAUUUAUUUUGUA